This 961-nucleotide long non-coding RNA is filed under the name Brassica rapa (field mustard). Its description in RNAcentral is "long non-coding RNA (BRAP_LNC007989)". The record is from RNAcentral. Lineage: Eukaryota; Viridiplantae; Streptophyta; Magnoliopsida; Brassicales; Brassicaceae.
GUGGAGUAGCGACACAGAAAUACUAAUAAAUGAGAUUCAGUUCCUCACAAUGAGGAUCGGUGGUCCUAUUGUAUCUUGCCACAUGGAGGAAAUAAUGAAGCUCGUUUUUGUUUUAAACUUAUAUCGCCAUCUUUCUUUGUCGCAUAAUCUAUUAACUGAACUGGCCAUGUUUAAUCGUUUGAGCUUUGAAUCUGUGAUCCUAUAUUGGAUACUUUUGAACAUCCCUUUAGUUCAGAACCGUGCAAAAAUAAGUAUUCGCUUUGAAUUGUAAUCAAUCUUUUGUUUUGUUAAAGUGAAUUUAGAUUAAACAUUAUGUUAAUUGAUUAAACAUAUAUUAUAUUUAUUUAUUUUUCGCAAUGAUGAUUCCAUAUUAGUCAAUCUCUUCUAGCUUUUCAGUAACCGGUUGGCAGGAAAAAAAUAGAAAUGGACUCGAGAAACGGUAACUAACAAAAGAAAAAAAAAAACACAUGUUGAAGUUCACCGACAAAAGAACUAAAUGUUAGAUUAUCGUGACGCGCGUUAAAAAAAAAGAAAAAAAAAUUAAUAUCCCGAUCUAGCAACUAUUGAUUUUAUUUCAUUUCAGGUCAGGUGGGAUCCUCAUAUAUUUUAUACAAUUUGCCCUAAGAAGUGUGGCACUGUCUGUAACGAAUAACGUGGGGGAAAUGACAAAUUGCCAGCGUUGCGUAUACUUGUUUGGCUCCAAUCUUUAAGGAUUCGUAUCAUUUUCCUCGUUUUUCUUUGCAUAUGUCUUAAUAAUGUCUUGAUUCCCUAAUCAGCCACACACUUAUAACAAGAAGACAUCAUGAUAUAUAUAAACAAUAUGAACAAUUAGUUGAACUGUAACAGAUCGCCAUAAUAUUCAAUUUGGAAAUUAACCCAUGUUUUUAAACUUACAAACUUAUUUUUUAUACGAGGGUUGAUUACAAAUCAGGUUAUUAAUUCUGAUGAAUAUUAUUCACAC